RNAcentral lists this ribosomal RNA (485 nucleotides) under uncultured bacterium. RNAcentral describes it as "partial 16S ribosomal RNA". It matches the Rfam family "Bacterial small subunit ribosomal RNA", at positions 28 to 523 of the family's 1533-position model. The record is from RNAcentral.
GAUGAACGCUAGCGGCAGGCUUAAUACAUGCAAGGCGAAGGGGCAGCAAUGUCACUGUCGUACGGGUGCGUAACGCGUAUGCAACCUACCUAUCACUGGGGGAUAGCCCGGGGAAACCCGGAUUAAUACCGCAUAAAACAGGGGCACCGCAUGGUGAUAUUUGUUAAAGAUUUAUUGGUGAUAGUUGGGCAUGCGUUCGAUUAGCUAGUUGGCGGGGUAACGGCCCACCAAGGCGACGAUCGAUAGGGGAGCUGAGAGGUUGAUCCCCCACACGGGCACUGGGAUACGGGCCCGACUCCUACGGGAGGCAGCAGUAGGGAAUAUUGGGCAAUGGAUGCAAGUCUGACCCAGCCAUGCCGCGUGCCGGAUGAAGGCCCUCAGGGUUGUAAACGGCUUUUAUUCGGGGAGAAGAGCAGGGAUGCGUCCUUGUGUGACGGUACCGAAUGAAUAAGCACCGGCUAACUCCGUGCCAGCCGCCGCGGUAA